AUGGUACUCCCUCCGUUCUGAAUUACUUGUCGCAAGUUUGGAUGUAUCUAGAUGUAUUUUAGUUCUAGAUACAUCUAUUUUCUGCGACGAGUAAUUUGGAACGGAGGGAGUAUGAA
This is a non-coding RNA of Triticum aestivum (bread wheat), 116 nucleotides long. The record is from Rfam. Lineage: Eukaryota; Viridiplantae; Streptophyta; Magnoliopsida; Poales; Poaceae.